Molecule: ribosomal RNA, 497 nt
Filed under: uncultured bacterium
Lineage: Bacteria
Description: partial 16S ribosomal RNA
Rfam family: Bacterial small subunit ribosomal RNA
Source: RNAcentral
GAUGAACGCUGGCGGCGUGCCUAAUACAUGCAAGUCGAGCGAACAGACGAGGAGCUUGCUCCUCUGACGUUAGCGGCGGACGGGUGAGUAACACGUGGAUAACCUACCUAUAAGACUGGGAUAACUUCGGGAAACCGGAGCUAAUACCGGAUAAUAUAUUGAACCGCAUGGUUCAAUAGUGAAAGACGGUUUUGCUGUCACUUAUAGAUGGAUCCGCGCCGCAUUAGCUAGUUGGUAAGGUAACGGCUUACCAAGGCAACGAUGCGUAGCCGACCUGAGAGGAGGGUCGGCCACACUGGAACUGAGACGCGGUCCAGACUCCUACGGGAGGCAGCAGUAGGGAAUCUUACGCAAUGGGCGAAAGCCUGACGGAGCAACGCCGCGUGAGUGAUGAAGGUCUUCGGAUCGUAAAACUCUGUUAUUAGGGAAGAACAAAUGUGUAAGUAACUAUGCACGUCUUGACGGUACCUAAUCAGAAAGCCACGGCUAACUACGUG